This 449-nucleotide ribosomal RNA is filed under the name uncultured bacterium. RNAcentral's name for it is "bacterial SSU rRNA". It matches the Rfam family "Bacterial small subunit ribosomal RNA", at positions 328 to 793 of the family's 1533-position model. The record is from RNAcentral.
ACUCCAGACUCCUACGGGAGGCAGCAGUGGGGAAUAUUGCACAAUGGGGGGAACCCUGAUGCAGCGACGCCGCGUGGGUGAAGGAGUACUCCGGUACGUAAAGCCCUAUCAGCAGGAAAGAAAAUGACGGUACCUGACUAAGAAGCCCCGGCUAACUACGUGCCAGCAGCCGCGGUAAUACGUAGGGGGCAAGCGUUAUCCGGAUUUACUGGGUGUAAAGGGAGCGUAGACGGCAGUGCAAGUCCGGAGUGAAAGCCCGGGGCUCAACCCUGGGACUGCUCUGGAAACUGUAAAGCUGGAGUGCGGGAGGGGCAGGCGGAAUUCCUGGUGUAGCGGUGAAAUGCGUAGAUAUCAGGAGGAACACCGGUGGCGAAGGCGGCCUGCUGGACUGCGACUGACGUUGAGGCCCGAAAGCGUGGGGAGCAAACAGGAUUAGAUACCCCUGUACG